UGCUCCUGGAGCGGCCGAUAUCUGAUUAGCUAGUUGGUAGGGUAAAAGCCUACCAAGGCAUCGAUCAGUAGCUGGUCUGAGAGGACGACCAGCCACACUGGAACUGAGACACGGUCCAGACUCCUACGGGAGGCAGCAGUGGGGAAUUUUGGACAAUGGGCGCAAGCCUGAUCCAGCAAUGCCGCGUGAGUGAAGAAGGCCUUCGGGUUGUAAAGCUCUUUUGUCAGGGAAGAAAAGGCUACGGAUAAUACCUGUGGCUCAUGACGGUACCUGAAGAAUAAGCACCGGCUAACUACGUGCCAGCAGCCGCGGUAAUACGUAGGGUGCAAGCGUUAAUCGGAAUUACUGGGCGUAAAGCGUGCGCAGGCGGUUUUGUAAGACUGUCGUGAAAUCCCCGGGCUCAACCUGGGAAUGGCGAUGGUGACUGCAAGGCUAGAGUUUGGCAGAGGGGGGUAGAAUUCCACGUGUAGCAGUGAAAUGCGUAGAUAUGUGGAGGAACACCGAUGGCGAAGGCAGCCCCCUGGGUCAAAACUGACGCUCAUGCACGAAAGCGUGGGGAGCAAACAGGAUUAGAUACCCUGGUAGUCCACGCCCUAAACGAUGUCUACUAGUUGUCGGGUCUUAAUUGACUUGGUAACGCAGCUAACGCGUGAAGUAGACCGCCUGGGGAGUACGGUCGCAAGAUUAAAACUCAAAGGAAUUGACGGGGACCCGCACAAGCGGUGGAUGAUGUGGAUUAAUUCGAUGCAACGCGAAAAACCUUACCUACCCUUGACAUGGAUGGAAUCCUCGAGAGAUUG
This 800-nucleotide ribosomal RNA is filed under the name Duganella margarita. RNAcentral describes it as "bacterial SSU rRNA". It matches the Rfam family "Bacterial small subunit ribosomal RNA", at positions 216 to 1009 of the family's 1533-position model. Lineage: Bacteria; Pseudomonadati; Pseudomonadota; Betaproteobacteria; Burkholderiales; Oxalobacteraceae. The record is from RNAcentral.